AGUGUUCAUAUAAAAAUUUCAUUUUUUAUUUUUUAUUUUUUAUUUUUUUUAAAUUUCAUUUUUUAAAGUUGUUUUUCUUAUCCUGUAUAUUUACAACAUUCCUUAGAAAUGGAAGGCAUUUAGCACUAUUUCUAUUCUGCCUUUAUAGAUAUUACAUAAUUAUAUGACUUUUACAACAAGGUCAUCAAAAAAAUCUAAGGGGUAUUUUUCCCCAUUAACCUUUAGUAGCUAAAUGAAACAUAUUUUAUGAUCAUAGAAUUGUGUAUUCAGAUUACAUGGUACUCAUGUGACAAAAAACUGUGGGUUAUCUAGAAAAUAUAUGUGAAAGUAAUUUUAUUACUUUUCUUUUUUUUUUUCUUUUUGUUGUCAAACACCCUUUAGAAAGUUAAACCUUUGCUUUUAGUAAAAUUACUUGGACAUGAAUCUUGCAGAAUUGUGUUCAAGUAGAUUUAAAUUGUUUUGAGUGCAAAAUUAACAAAAUUGUUUCAGAAAUUUCUUUAAGCAAAUUUAGAAAUAUUUGUAAAAUGACAGUUUGCAUCUGAGAUGUAUGCCAACUCAGUUGUGAAAGCUGCAUAAGAGCUAAGAUUAUUCAGUGGGUAUUUAUUUGAUUGACCAUGAAAGAAAAACACAGCUGAAGGUGCAUGACAUAUUUCUCCAUUCACAGCUGAGUGGAAAGGUACCACGUGUUGGGGAGAGACCUGCUUUCUGAUAAAGCUUGUCAGCUAAAUUGAAUUUUGUGUUUUCAAAACAUCAGAGUAGAUGAUCUCUGUGACAUAUUUUAACAUCAAAAUAAUUCAUGGCUCAUGGCUCCAAAGGAGAAUCUUCCUUUUUCAGUCACUACUAAAUUAUCAGUGCUUUUGCAGGAAGCAGAAAGUGCCAUGGGGAGUUGUGAUUCUGGAGACUUAACAAUGAAAUACUCAAUAUACAUUAUAUCUAUAGAAAAUAUUGAAAGAAAGUUUUUCCCUGGCAAGCUUCAUCACAGUUUGCGCUCUUUCUGGAAUAAACUGUAAGUCUCUUCAAUGCUAUCUUUGUGAUUGUAUGUAUGUAGAUGGAAUCAUCAUAUGUCAUAUAACAGGUCCAUUUUGUAGUUAGGUAAUUAUAUCCCUUUGUAAUGAAUUUAAGUCAACUUGCCUUCUACCAAACCAGCAUGUAUUUUUCAACUUAGAUAAGAGAAAUAUUUUUUUUAUUCUGGACACUAAUUGUUAGCUCUCAGUAGGGAAUAGAUCCCAUAUAUAUUAGCGCAGUGAUAUAUGGAUACACAUUUGUAGACCUGAAGACUCAUUAUUUUGCAUUUGACUUUUGGUAUUAACACAUGUAUAAUACUUCUUAUGAAUAAGUCAGGUAUAAUUAUGAGCCACAUGUGACUAAAUCAGGUAGAGUAAUUUCAGGGGAUGGAUUGGUGUGCAUCAAGAGCUUUAGAAGACAAAUGUCAAUAUUUUGUACUUAUUAUUUUUUGUUUCUGGGAACCUCUGAAGGCAGCUGCUGUGCAAAAGUCAUUUGUCACUCUCCAAGUGAGUUUCCAUAUCAGUGGCAGCAUUUACACAAAUGCUAAUACCGUUUUUAAACAUUAGUGAGACGCAUAGGAUCUGAAUGUUUUACUAACAUAUAAUGACAAUGAUACUUAAUAUCAAAUAGCAAAUUUUUAAUCCAAGGAUAGCUAUAUAAUUAACGAUUCAAUUGUUGCAAAUUAUUUACAAACAUUAAGGGCAUUGGGUUACCAUUUUAGACCAUAAUUUAUUUGACAUGGGAACACACUGAAAGGAAAUGUGAAUUUUUCAUUCAUCAUCUUCAAAGAGUAUAAAAUGAAUACCUCAGGCUUAUAAUAACCAAAAAGUUUAGUCACACUCAUAUACACAAUCUUGGGAUUGCUUUUAUUUACCACUCUCAUCCUUAUUUCAAGGCUAGUUGUAUACUUUAUGAAUCCACAAAUGAUUGCCUUUAUUGAAAGGUUUGUGUUAUUCAAGAUGACUUGUAAAGUUUACUCAAUCUUCCCUAGCAAGGGAAACAGGAAAUUCCAGAGAACACUAGACUCAGCAAACCUAUAAAAUCUGAGAAAGCAGACCAUUAUUUCUGGAGACAUUUCACAUAACACUUUGGGAAGCAAUGACUAAUUAGUUUUUGGUCUUAACAAUAGCACUUUCAGAGGCUUUUUUUUUUUCCCCCUUUUCCUUUUAUAGCUUUCAUAUUAGGAGAAGAAGGAAUGUUGCUCUGAAUGAUGAAAUAUUGGCAACGUAUGCACUUGCUUCUCUGUAGGAGCUCAACUCUUUGAUCCUUAAAAUUACCUGCAUUGCCUGGCUGGCAUUAACCGGCUGGAGAGUAACAACCAAUUGUUGCGGGCACGACAACUUCCUGAUAUGCUUUGCCUCUAAUAACUAUUUCAAAUUGAAGGCUCUGUUCUAUUCCUAAAUUCUUUUUGUAGUAAGUUAAGCCCUUAAAGGGACAUAGGUGCUUGUUUAUGCCUGGACCCUCAUCUUUUCCAUGGCAGCACCUUGCCUAACCACUCACCUGCCAGUGAAUAUUUCGUUAUUAGCAGAGUUAAAACUUAUCCUGAGUUCUCUAAGUGUAAAUAUUUGCAUGUUAAAUCUCCUUUUCUCCUUUCUUCUUUCCUCCCUUUCCUUCGUUAUCUUUUCAAGCACCAGUCAUUCAUUCUUUUGUUUUAGAAUUUCACUUUUCCUACAUCUGUCUUAACUCCAGCAGCCGUCCUUGACUGUUUUUUCUGCCUAUUCCACAACCAGUCUAACCUAUCACUGAAUCCUGGUAGCUCCACUUCUGUAAUCCUGCUGAUCCUGGCCUGUACUAUGGCUCUUGGAUUAUUGUAAUAGUUUUCUCAUUGAUCUUGCUUCUGCUCCAAAUUCCAUGGCCUCCAGCCGGCCCUAAUUGAUUCUAAAACCAGCAGCAGCCCCAGUGAGCUUUUAGAAGUCAUACUAUGCCUCACCUUUGCUUAGAACUCUCCAGUAGUUUCUCAUCUCUCUUGGAGUAAAAACAGAAAUGCUUCCCAGGACCUCUAAGAAUCUGCUCUUCCCUCACUCUCAUUCAUCUACUGCCACUCAUUCCUCCCACUCUGACCUCUGUGUUGUAUUGUCAACAUGCCAAGCAUACUCCAAAUUUGGUGCUUUUAUACUUGCUGCUCCUCCUCGUUAAAUACAUAGAUCAUCUCUCCCAGAUAUCUGCAUUAAUCUUCAGAUCUAUGCUUAGUUGUUGCCUUCUCAGAGAGGCUGUUCCUGACCACUCUGUAUAAAAUAACAAUCCUGCACCUCAGCCCAACCCACCUCACAUUCCCUUUCCCUUUACCCCACUUUCUUCACAGCUCUUAUCACCAACCAGCAGGGUAUGUCUUUAGUUGUUUGUAGUCUCUUGCCCCUCGUUAAAACAUAAACUUCAUAGAGGCAGAGAGUUUAUUUUUUUAAAGAUUUUAUUUAUUUAUUCAUGACAGACACACAGAGAGAGGCAGAAACAUAGGUAGAGGGAGAAGCAGGCUCCCUGUAGGGAGCCUGAUGUGGGACUUGAUCCCAGGACUUCAGGAUCAUGCCCUGAGCCAAAGACAGACACUCCACUAUGCCACCAGGUGCCCCAAGGCAGAGACCUUAUUUUGGAAUUGCUAUAUCCCCAUACCCCCAUGCCUAGAGCAAUGCCUGCCAUGGAGUAGGGAUUCAAUAAAUACUUCCUAUUUGUUGAAUAAAAAAAAAAAGUAAUAAAGUAACAUGAAUUUAUUUGUCUGCUUUCUGCUUUUUAUCUUUGCUUUGUCUUAUGUCUCCCACUACCACCUCCUUAAUUCAGGCAAGUGUUUAUGCCUCAAGAACAUUUUUUUUCUCUUUAGUUACAAAUAUGCUACCCAUCCUUUCGUUCAUAUAAAAAAGUUACUUUCCAAAAAAAAAAAAAAAAA
RNAcentral lists this long non-coding RNA (3883 nucleotides) under Canis lupus familiaris (dog). RNAcentral describes it as "lncRNA (ENSCAFG00000050931.1)". Lineage: Eukaryota; Metazoa; Chordata; Mammalia; Carnivora; Canidae. The record is from RNAcentral.